RNAcentral lists this ribosomal RNA (428 nucleotides) under Acidobacteriota bacterium. Its description in RNAcentral is "Acidobacteria bacterium partial 16S ribosomal RNA". It matches the Rfam family "Bacterial small subunit ribosomal RNA", at positions 355 to 775 of the family's 1533-position model. The record is from RNAcentral. Lineage: Bacteria; Pseudomonadati; Acidobacteriota.
UGGGGAAUUUUGGACAAUGGGGGAAACCCUGAUCCAGCCAUCCCGCGUGUGCGAUGAAGGCCUUCGGGUUGUAAAGCACUUUUGGCAGGAAAGAAACGUCAUGGGUUAAUACCCCGUGAAACUGACGGUACCUGCAGAAUAAGCACCGGCUAACUACGUGCCAGCAGCCGCGGUAAUACGUAGGGUGCAAGCGUUAAUCGGAAUUACUGGGCGUAAAGCGUGCGCAGGCGGUUCGGAAAGAAAGAUGUGAAAUCCCAGAGCUCAACUUUGGAACUGCAUUUUUAACUACCGGGCUAGAGUGUGUCAGAGGGAGGUGGAAUUCCGCGUGAAGCAGUGAAAUGCGUAGAUAUGCGGAGGAACAACGAUGGCGAAGGCAGCCUCCUGGGAUAACACUGACGCUCAUGCACGAAAGCGUGGGGAGCAAACAG